CACGCUGUAAACGAUGGAUGCUAGGUGUCGGGGCCUUGAGCUUCGGUGCCGCAGCUAACGCGUUAAGCAUCCCGCCUGGGGAGUACGGUCGCAAGGCUGAAACUCAAAGAAAUUGACGGGGGCCCGCACAAGCGGUGGAGUAUGUGGUUUAAUUCGAUGCAACGCGAAGAACCUUACCCAGGCUUGACAUCCGGGAAACCCUCCCGAAAAGGAGGGGUGCUCUUCGGAGAAUCCCGAGACAGGUGC
RNAcentral lists this ribosomal RNA (246 nucleotides) under uncultured Desulfovibrio sp. Its description in RNAcentral is "partial 16S ribosomal RNA". It matches the Rfam family "Bacterial small subunit ribosomal RNA", at positions 796 to 1041 of the family's 1533-position model. Lineage: Bacteria; Pseudomonadati; Thermodesulfobacteriota; Desulfovibrionia; Desulfovibrionales; Desulfovibrionaceae. The record is from RNAcentral.